AGAUGAGGGAACGUAGGAACACUGGGGACUCUCCCCCAACUUACCAGGCCCCAGAAGUUAUUUCCCAGGCAGCGUUUUGACCAAGAUUGACAGAAAAAACUCACUAAGGGAGCCCCAAGGAAAGAACUUCGGUGAGCAAGACUUGAGGAAGAGGGCGUUAGGCCGCUGUGGUCCAGGACACGUCAGUUACAUGUGAAUCCCUUCUGGCAAUUCAGCAAUAGCCAUUGUAACUUUCAGGUUUUUGAUGUGGUCUCCUUUUUGCAGACAAUAGAGUUAUAUCCUCUCUUACUUCUGAGGUCUGCUGCCUUGUGGCAGAAGUUGACCACACGGAAAUUUUCCACUUGGAAAUUCACACGUUGUUUCCUCUUGGUUUAUCGGUAGGCAGAAGUUACUACAUGGAGGGAGGGGGGAAACUGGUUUAACCUUGGCUGCUUGAUAGUGGAUCUGAAAGUCUAGUAUUGCAUGAGAAGUCCCUGCUAGAUAAAAUGUAAUAUUGGGGUCCCAUCUCCAGUGACUGUGGUUUAGUAGUUCCGGGUGGGCCUUGGCAGUAUACGUUUUUGAGCAAGCACCCCAAUAACUCUCAUAUGCAUGUUUCAAGACCUCGUGAUGUGGAGUACUGAUCUAGGUCCUCUUAGAACAGGAUGGAAGUUUGCUGAAGCGGGGACAAGAUUGGCCAUUGUGAAUGAUACUAACAUUGUGAUUAAGAGAACAAAUGUCUCUUUAGAUCUAAAGUCCUAAGCUUUUUGUCUUAGGCUGAAUUCCCCAGGAGGAGAGCCUAGACUGGUAUUUGGGUGUAUGUGAUGCAUUGGCGUGGUCUCAGGAAAAAGAUUAUAAAGGAAGUAGGAGAGCGCAAAGUAAGGCCCUAAGCAAGGGUGUGGGUUCAGCCGGAGGCUAGCUUUACUCGGAUCCCACAGGGAGCUCUGCGCGUGAGUUGUACCACAUGGCAUAUCCCACCCUGAGGAAAGAAGGCUAGCUUUUGGUACCUUUUGACAGCCAGUCACUGGCUGUGAGCUACCCUGGGAUGGGAGAUAGAAUCUUCUGGAUGAGCAGAGGGCAGAUCUCCAGGGAGAAGGCCUCUGUUGCCAUUAGCAACCAACCCUCAUGGCCACUGGGGAAUGGAUGCACCAGCCAGGUAAAAGGGACCGAGAAGAGUCACCAACAGCAUCCAUUGUGUUAUGACACCGUAGUGUCACAUGAGAGGCAUUUCACACUAUGGCUCCUGUUCUUGGUCACCCUGGCCACUCUUGCUGCUAUAAGCUUGCUACUCUUAAGUUUUUUGUUUGUUUGUUAUCAUUACAAGGGAAAACAUGGAUAGCAAAAAUAUUUGGCUUUUUGCUUUUUAGUAUUUCCCUUCUUGUGCUUUAGUAAAAAUUGUCAUCCUGCAGCAAAGUGUAGAUAAUAUGGCAGCAUCCUUUGUCAAUUUUGUCUCCUCACUUGAAGAAACAAUGACUUUGAAUACUGAAUUAUGGGUCCUUAGGCUGUAGUGAAAUCUUAAUGUGCUUUACUCAAAACUUCCUUUGCAGAUGAGUCCGUCUCACGCUUCUUGUAAUGAGAUUGCUCGUGGGGGAUGUUCGUUUGUUUAGGACUUUCUGUGAGAAAUAUGCUGUUCUGGAGACUAUUGAACUGGUUGUCAUUGGUUACUUGGCUUUAUUAAAUAAAACAGCCUCUUCUCAACUACCUUCUGUGGAACAUUAGUGUCUUUUGUACUGUAUUCUAUAGGAAAUAAGUCCUAUGGUCAAAUAAUUUUGGAGGGGAGGUGUUCUGUAUACUGUUUCCUUCUAGGAGAUUCACAGAGCACUUUGGCCUGUUAGAAGGUUCUCCAGACCCUGCAGGAAAGAAAACUGUUUACUCUUGCUUGGCUGAUCGAUUCUCAAACCUACCUGCUCAUGGAGAUGCUUGUCAUCACUGCCUCCCUCCUUUUUAUUUUUUCAGAAUACACAUUACCAGUUUACAGGACUAAUGUUCCAUAGUACACAGUUUGGAGAAUACCGAAAUGAAACUUUAUUCCUCAUCAUGUAUUACCAGGGCUUUCUGAGCAGCGAAGAACCAGUUCCACUCUUUUAUGUUGUAAAACCGGUCUCGACGCCUUAUCUACAUGCAAGGCAGGUGCAAAGCAGAUUUGGGGAUCAAAGUAGUCUCUGGAGAAAAAGGAUAGGUUAUUUGUUUGUCAUGCUGAAGGGGCUGUAAAAACAGUAACAUACUUAAUGAGGCUUCACUAUGGAUAUAUUAGUCUCCAUAAAACAUUUUAUUUAGCCUAACCUACAAUUACUUAAUGGCCAGUGAGUUUCAUAAACAGCUAGUCCCCAGCCUCAAACAUAUAUUAAGUGUCUGUUCUUUUGUGGAGUGAGUUUGCCAGGGAGAGUCAUGCAAGAUUAAAAAGAUAGAACAUUAAAAAUUCAGCCAAGACACACCAGGGCUGCCCUGAUGAUAACAACUACGGUGUGAUGUUUCUCAGUUCAUAUGGAUUCCCCAUACUGUUCUCAGUAGAAGAUAACCCUGCUAUUGCCCAAUACUCUUUCAUUAAAAAAUUAUUUGCACAGUCAUGGGUGUAUGGCAUUUCUUUUUUUGCUUAAGACAGACCCUCGGUGAGUUGAAUUUUUCUAAGGAGUUUUGAAUUGUAAGAGACAGAAAUGAAUGAAUAUUUAUUUAGAGGAAAAAUAUUGAGUCCUUACAUUUCCUACAGCACUUUGAAGUUUGCAGAGGGCUCCCUUCCCCCUUCCUCAACUAUCACUUUUGUACUUAAACAAAACCUCUGUGAGACAGUAGUAUUACCAGCACCACAAAAGUAGCAGAGGACUCUUGGAAAGCUGGCCAGAGCAGCCUUACAGAAUUCAGAAGCUUUAUUUACAUUCACCUGAACCGUUAUCCUAACUUCCUUCCUUCCUACUUAGUUAUGUUCAAUCAACUUAUCAUCUAGACUCAGCCACGAGCUUACUGUGUGUCCUGAUCCAUUGCUUAGCAAUCGUUCCCUCUUGGAUCAUGAGAGGUGGUAAGUUUCUAGGAUAUGUGUGUGAGUGCAUAUGUGUGCAAAUGUGUAGGAAUUGGUGAGGGAUGAAGGACUCAGAGAUCAUCUUUAGACAGAGUCCUGUGUUCCCCACCCAGGCGUGUGGAUUUUCUCUAGUAAGAAGGGUGAGGAGGCUAGGAUCUCGGAUGCCUUGGGCAACGUGGAAGAGGGCUUGGUACAGCAGAGGCUGUUACGGUGAAUAUGGGGGUCAGAGGAUGAAGGUCUGGGAAAUGGAUGGAGCCAAGGCAAUGGAGGGGAUUCCUGAGGUGGAACUGACCAGUCUUGGAGGUAAGGGAGAUACAGCAACUCAAGAUAUUGAUGAGGCGUCUAAUAGAGGUGGCCAAUAGUGCUGUUAUCAGAGAAGAGAACAAGAGGGAGACAACUGGGGUGGUAGCCUAGGGGGCGGCGGCGGGAGAGUUGAAACGAUAGAAGCCACUUUAGGAUGUGAUGAGCUUGAAGUGAAAUGUUUAGGUAGCUUGAAGUAGCCAUCCACAUUACAGAGAAAGAGAACAAAACCUGAGAUUUAGAGUUAAUGCUCGACAGUGUGUAAAGACCUGGACGCACAGACCAAAGCAUCUAGGAAGAGGGUGGCACCAGAUUGAAUCAGCCCACAUGACUCACACAUGUUAGAAAUGUCAUAUGUAUAUAUAUAUAUAUGUAUUUGGUCUUUUUUUUUGCCAUUUCUUGGGCCGCUCCUGCGGCAUAUGGAGGUUCCCAGGCUAGGAGUCGAAUCGGAGCUGUAGCCACUGGCCUACACCAGAGCCACAGCAACGCAGGAUCCGAGCCACGUCUGUGACCUACACCACAGCUCACGGCAAUACCAGAUCCUUAACCCACUGAGCAAGGCCAGGGAUCGAACCCGCAACCUCAUGGUUCCUAGUCAGAUUCGUUAACCACUGUGCCACAAUGGGAACUCUGGAAAUGUCAUAUGUUUUUACAACGUGUAAGGCAACUCCAUUUCAUACCGAGCACUCCUCCUUGUAGUCUGGGGGAAAACCUAAUUUCGUAUCUUUGAUUUUCCCUUCCUGAGGCAGUGCUGAGACAUCAGGAUGCAGAGUGGUGAUCUGGUCCUUGGUCACCUGUUGGGUAGGUUAUUUGCCAAGGCUUGCCAUCAUUCCUACUAGAUCCUUUUUCUCUGCCAUGGCUGUGCCAUGAGAUGCCACUUGUUGUUUUGUCUGAUGAGCUUCAGCUCCACCCAGCUCUUGGGCUUGGAGUUUUGCUGUCAACCUUUUGGGAGUGUGAGGGAAGCAUGGCUGCUCUGGGAUCCUUUGGUAUCGUUCGUCUUUCCUCUCUGAGUUUUAGCCCAGGGACCUCUCUUUCUAGGGCAGGGAAGGAAGAAAGGAUGAAGCGCCCUUCCUCUCGCUUCUCACAUACCCUCCCCUCUUCUCCCCCAAACCACCACUUCUCUUAAGGGCUUAAACAUGUUUGUGUGUGUGUGUGUGUGUUGGGGGAAAGGCAGACAGACUUGCUGGUUAUUUGCUUAUGGCCCUGAUGCAUGCCUCCUGGUAGCUGUGGAGGAUCACGAUGGCUACCACACUGAACUGGGAGGACGGAAACAAACAAAUACAGAUACAGAGAGAAACAAGAGUAAUAUCUGAAAAUACCAUCUAGCUACAGUGUUCAAGUAAGAGGAGAAACCAAGCAGGCUUUGGGCUACAGAGUAUAGAGACAAGAGAGAACAGGAAGAUGACAUCCAGGGAAGAAGCCAGAAAGCUCCCAGAGAAUGCAACAAAAAGCACCACUCUCAGGAUGUCGAGAUGCAAGACAUGGCCCCAGCUAUGAUGAUACCAGGACAUGCCAGAGGAGGGCAGGCGAGUCAUAGCCCGGGGCUUUAAAGUAAGCCUGUGGAGUUCCCAUUGUGGCUCAGAGGUAGCAAACAUGACUAGUAUCCAUGAGGACUCGGGUUUGAUCCCUGGCCUCGCUCAGCGGGUUAAGGGUCCAGUGUUGCUGGGAGAGCGUCAGUGUAGGUUGCAGAUGAGGCUUGGAUCCCAAAUUGCUGUGGCUGUGGCUGGCAGCUGCAGCUCCAAUUUGAUCCCUAGCCUGGGAAACUCCAUAUGCCAUAGGUGUAGCCC
This 5076-nucleotide long non-coding RNA is filed under the name Sus scrofa (pig). RNAcentral's name for it is "lncRNA (ENSSSCG00040073736.1)". The record is from RNAcentral. Lineage: Eukaryota; Metazoa; Chordata; Mammalia; Artiodactyla; Suidae.